RNAcentral lists this long non-coding RNA (472 nucleotides) under Ananas comosus (pineapple). Its description in RNAcentral is "long non-coding RNA (ACOM_LNC006714)". The record is from RNAcentral. Lineage: Eukaryota; Viridiplantae; Streptophyta; Magnoliopsida; Poales; Bromeliaceae.
UGCUUAAUUAUUCAGAUUACAAAUUUUAUCUAAUUUAAUAAUUAUACUACUUAUUAAUUAUUAAUCAAUCUAGUUUUAUUUAUUAAAAAUAAUUAAAAUUAACAAGUUAAUAAAAUUAUUAAUAAAUUUGAUAAAAUUUUUUAGGUAAAAAAAAUAUAAAAAUUAUGUGAACUGUAGAUCAUUUUGAUUCGAUUAUUUGAUCUUUCAAAAUUUUAAUUUUAGUAUCUAAUUUUUUAAUUUAUUUAAUUUAAGUUAUUUUAUGGAUCAUCGGUUUAAAAUUUAAGAUAGAGUUUAUAAUUACAUGAACUAUAUAAAACGUACUAAUUAAAUUCGUAAAGACAAAUGAAUCACUCAAAUUUUAAAAUUAAAGAGCCAUAAUUACUCAAAUCAAAUAAAUUAAAAAAUUAAAUAGUAAAAUUGACCGUAUUUGUAUUUAAUCAUUUUCAUUCUAAAUAAUAAUAAUAAUAUUAUU